RNAcentral lists this ribosomal RNA (810 nucleotides) under uncultured bacterium. RNAcentral describes it as "bacterial SSU rRNA". It matches the Rfam family "Bacterial small subunit ribosomal RNA", at positions 8 to 796 of the family's 1533-position model. The record is from RNAcentral.
AGAGUUUGAUCCUGGCUCAGAACGAACGCUGGCGGCGUGGAUAAGACAUGCAAGUCGGACGAGAUUUUCCGUUGUAGCAAUACGAUGGAAAGUCUAGUGGCGAACGGGUGCUUAACACGUGGGCAACCUGCCAAGAAGUGGGGGAUAGCUCGCCGAAAGGCGAAUUAAUACCGCAUGUGAUCAGAGAGGACAUCCUUUCGAAAUUAAAGUCGGGGCAACCUGACGCUUUUUGUGGGGCCCGCGGCCUAUCAGCUAGUUGGUGAGGUAACGGCCCACCAAGGCUUUGACGGGUAGCUGGUCUGAGAGGACGACCAGCCACACUGGGACUGAGACACGGCCCAGACACCUACGGGUGGCAGCAGUCGAGAAUUUUUGACAAUGGGGGAAACCCUGAUCGAGCGACGCCGCGUGGAGGAUGAAGGUCUUCGGAUUGUAAACUCCUGUCAUUGGGGAACAAUGCGUGACGGUUAACUGCCGUUGCGUUGAUAGUACCCGAAGAGGAAGAGACGGCUAACUCUGUGCCAGCAGCCGCGGUAAUACAGAGGUCUCAAGCGUUGUUCGGAUUCAUUGGGCGUAAAGGGUGCGUAGGCGGCGCGGUAAGUCGGGUGUGAAAUCUCGGAGCUUAACUCCGAAACUGCAUUCGAUACUGCCGUGCUUGAGGACUGGAGAGGAGACUGGAAUUUACGGUGUAGCGGUGAAAUGCGUAGAUAUCGUAAGGAAGACCAGUGGCGAAGGCGGGUCUCUGGACAGUUCCUGACGCUGAGGCACGAAGGCCAGGGGAGCAAACGGGAUUAGAUACCCCGGUAGUCC